GUACACUCCUACGGGAGGCAGCAGUGAGGAAUAUUGGACAAUGGGUGGAAGCCUGAUCCAGCCAUCCCGCGUGCAGGAAGACGGCCCUAUGGGUUGUAAACUGCUUUUAUCUGGGGAUAAACCUACUUACGUGUAAGUAGCUGAAGGUACCAGAAGAAUAAGCACCGGCUAACUCCGUGCCAGCAGCCGCGGUAAUACGGAGGGUGCAAGCGUUAUCCGGAUUUAUUGGGUUUAAAGGGUCCGUAGGCGGACUGAUAAGUCAGUGGUGAAAUCCGACAGCUUAACUGUCGAACUGCCAUUGAUACUGUUAGUCUUGAGUAAGGUUGAAGUGGCUGGAAUAAGUAGUGUAGCGGUGAAAUGCAUAGAUAUUACUUAGAACACCAAUUGCGAAGGCAGGUCACUAAGUCUUAACUGACGCUGAUGGACGAAAGCGUGGGGAGCGAACAGGAUUAGAAACCCGUGUAGUCCCAU
This 471-nucleotide ribosomal RNA is filed under the name uncultured organism. RNAcentral's name for it is "partial 16S ribosomal RNA". It matches the Rfam family "Bacterial small subunit ribosomal RNA", at positions 331 to 798 of the family's 1533-position model. The record is from RNAcentral.